AAAAAAAGUUACAAACUUCCUAUUUUCUCUUAUAUGUUAGGAAAACAAAUGGAUGCAAAGAGUAGGAUCCUUCCCUUUUUGUUUCUCCUUGUUUUCCGUAGUAUCCUUCCGUUCCUCAAGUGUCCAUCCUCCCAAGUAGAUUGUAUGCCAUCAAAGAAACAUUAUUUCAAUCUAAAACAGAUGAUCUUAUUUUUUGCUUUUUAAUCUUGUGAGCUUUGUUGGACAAUAUCAUGUUGUUUAAGUUGAUGAAAGAAAUGCUUUAUGAUAGUUUAGAUAUGAAUACUAGUAAUAAUAUACUGAUUAAAAUAAUCUUAUGGUUUCUGGGUGCUUGCUGGAACUUUUCCACUGUUGGUUUGUAUGCUAGACGACUCUAUUUUGAAUUCUAGAACAGUUAAGAUGAAUAAGAAGAAAAGAAUAGGUUUAAGACAAUAAAUAAGAAAGGAAAGCAUGGCUAUUUUAUUAACAAAGGUUAAAACUUGUCAUUAAUGAAAAGAAAAGGAAAAUCUUACUUCUAUUUCCACUAUGAGCAAGACAUGACUUCAAUGCAAAUAUCCUGUUCCAACUGCCAUGCCUUUUUUCACUAUUCAGAGCUGGGGUUUCCUGUACCUGAUACCUGUUUACCAAAGAUAUGUAAUAACUUGCUAUAUUAACACAUUCAUGAUCAACAAUAAUGGGAAUGAAUAAUAUCCAUUAUAG
This 696-nucleotide unclassified non-coding RNA is filed under the name Hevea brasiliensis (rubber tree). The record is from RNAcentral. Lineage: Eukaryota; Viridiplantae; Streptophyta; Magnoliopsida; Malpighiales; Euphorbiaceae.